GCUGACCUGUGCUCGAGACCAACGGCCCCGGCCCCCACCCCUCCGGCCCCCACGUGAAGCCUCGAGCCAGUGUCCUGGUGGCCAGUGCCAGCUCCCCACCCUUUCUACCUGGUGACUCUGGGCAGGAAAUUGCAAGGGCCCUUGUCAUCACCACCCUUCCAGCCCCCACAGCUCGCAGGGGUCCACUCUCAACGACUGCAAGCAGGACGUGGGCUCUUUGAAGACCAAGUCGGAGGGCCCAGGGGAUUGGCAAGAUGCCCUCGGGGAAGUGAAAGAGAAGCCCCAGUCCUUUAGGACUUGAGUGUGACCACUUUUGGAAAGGUGUCAGAAAACAGACCAGGGUGCCCAGGACUGGAAAGACUUUGUCGGUUUUGGAACAUUUAAACGCCUCCGUGCUUGUUAUUUUUAUCACCCCUGGCUGCCUCCCCAUAGGGACUCCCAUGCAGCAGAGAACUCCUAGAAUGAAAAGCCUUGUGUGCGUGUGAGCUGUGGGGGACAUGGUGAAGAGGGAGCCGGGACGCUGA
Non-coding RNA from Odocoileus virginianus texanus, 524 nucleotides. The record is from RefSeq and is a predicted model, not a curated record. NCBI's taxonomy places the organism in Eukaryota, Metazoa, Chordata, Mammalia, Artiodactyla, Cervidae.